AUAACCAAUUCACCUCACACCAAAACCUUGAAGCUUUGAAACUCCAAAGCUCCCAAGCAAAUCCCGAAGGAUCAAGAAAGCUCUUUUCGUUCUUCGUCAAAUCCUCAUUCGAAAUCAAGCCCCAAUGGCCCCUUGAAGAACUUCCACUAAUUCAAGAUCAAGCCCCGACGGCCCUUGAAGAAAGUGUUCAUCAUCCAUCAUUCGUUCAUCCCUAUAUCAAGCCCCGACGGCCCUUUGGAUCCACGACGUCAACAAAUCUGCACAACUGUUUAUCCCAAGAUCAAGCCCCGACGGCCCUUUGGAUCAACAACAUCAAAUCUACCCAUUACAAAGAUAGAAUCAGAGGCUAAAUUUGUAGAAGAGAUUGUAACCCCUA
This 376-nucleotide long non-coding RNA is filed under the name Malus domestica (apple). RNAcentral describes it as "long non-coding RNA (MDOM_LNC017020)". The record is from RNAcentral. Lineage: Eukaryota; Viridiplantae; Streptophyta; Magnoliopsida; Rosales; Rosaceae.